RNAcentral lists this unclassified non-coding RNA (542 nucleotides) under Bombus terrestris (buff-tailed bumblebee). Its description in RNAcentral is "misc RNA ENSBTSG00005031614.1". Lineage: Eukaryota; Metazoa; Arthropoda; Insecta; Hymenoptera; Apidae. The record is from RNAcentral.
CCUCAAGGAAGCGUCCUAGGUCCAAACACGGCGAACAUACCAACAACUGCCAAUAGCACAGUACUGACAUUCGCGGACGACACAGCUAUACUAGUCAGGCAUAUGAACCCAGAAACGGCAGUCAAAUUACUACAAGAACAUAUCACAAAAAUAGAAAAGUGGCUACAAGAAAAACAAAUAAAAGCAAACCCCAAUAAAUGCAACCAUAUUACAUUCACGCUACGAAAAAAGAUACCACCAAGCAUCCUUCUGAACGGCACGAAUAUAACACAAACAAAGCAUGUCAAAUACCUAGGACUCCACUUAGAUACACAACUCACAUGGAAACUACAUACUAAAUCAAUAAUAGAAAAAAUACAGAAAACAAGGAGACAAAUGCAUUGGCUAACAAGCCGAAAAUCCAAAUUAAGCAUUGAAAAUAAAUUAAAAAUAUAUAAAACGAUCAUAAAACCAAUCUGGACGUACGGAAUACCACUAUGGCGGACAGCAGCAGUGAGCCAUAUAAACAAAAUAGAGGUAAUACAGGCUAAAAUCCUCAGAAC